This 310-nucleotide small nuclear RNA is filed under the name Mus pahari (shrew mouse). RNAcentral describes it as "sRNA (MGP_PahariEiJ_G0007995.1)". It matches the Rfam family "7SK RNA". Rfam says of the family: 7SK was discovered as an abundant small nuclear RNA in the mid-70s but a possible function has only recently been suggested. Two independent studies have found that 7SK RNA binds the CDK9/cyclin T complex (known as elongation factor P-TEFb). Lineage: Eukaryota; Metazoa; Chordata; Mammalia; Rodentia; Muridae. The record is from RNAcentral.
AGUUGUGAAGGUCAUCUGGCUACGACAUUUGUCACCCCAUUGAUCACCAAGUUCAUUUGGUAGAUCUGGCUGGGUAGACGGGUGUCACCUUCCUGCCUCACUACUCCCUAGAUACUGCUCCCGAAGCCACAGGUUCAGUUAAAGAAGCUGACCUUCCUCAAUAAUAAUAGUAUCUGUCUCCAGGCUAAGUUUCACAGUAGCCGCAUCAUCUACUAGAACCUCCAAACAAGCUCUGAAGGCCCAAUGAACCCCUAAACUUUAGGUGAGUUUCCCACUGAGAUUGGGUUCCCCUGGUGGCUUUAAGAGAACA